CAGCAGCCGCGGUAAUACGAAGGGGGCUAGCGUUGUUCGGAAUUACUGGGCGUAAAGCGUGCGCAGGCGGUUCGUUAAGACAGAUGUGAAAUCCCCGGGCUUAACCUGGGAACUGCAUUUGUGACUGGCGAGCUAGAGUAUGGCAGAGGGGGGUAGAAUUCCACGUGUAGCAGUGAAAUGCGUAGAGAUGUGGAGGAAUACCGAUGGCGAAGGCAGCCCCCUGGGCCAAUACUGACGCUCAUGCACGAAAGCGUGGGGAGCAAACAGGAUUAGAUACCCGCGUAGUCCCUGUCUCUUAUAA
RNAcentral lists this ribosomal RNA (301 nucleotides) under uncultured bacterium. RNAcentral's name for it is "partial 16S ribosomal RNA". It matches the Rfam family "Bacterial small subunit ribosomal RNA", at positions 509 to 809 of the family's 1533-position model. The record is from RNAcentral.